Molecule: ribosomal RNA, 468 nt
Filed under: uncultured bacterium
Lineage: Bacteria
Description: partial 16S ribosomal RNA
Rfam family: Bacterial small subunit ribosomal RNA
Source: RNAcentral
GACGAACGCUGGCGGCGUGCUUAACACAUGCAAGUCGAACGGAAAGGCCCUGCUUUUGUGUGGUGCUCGAGUGGCGAACGGGUGAGUAACACGUGAGUAACCUGCCCUUGACUAUGGGAUAACUUCAGGAAACUGGGGCUAAUACCGGAUAGGAGCUCCUGCUGCAUGGUGGGGGUUGGAAAGUUUCGGCGGUAGGGGAUGGACUCGCGGGUUGUCAGCUUGUUGGUGGGGGAGUCGCUUACCAAGGCUUUGACGGGUAGCCGGCCUGAGAGGGUGACCGGCCAAAAGAAACAUGAGGUACGGCCGAGUUGACAACGGGAGCCAUCAGUAGGGAAUAAUGCAAAAUAGCCGGAAGAGCAUUAAAGCAACGACGAGUGCGGGAUAACGGUCUUCAGGUAGUAAAACGCGUUUGCCUAAGACGAGGCGAGAAUGACGGUAAUGGAUAAAGAAGCACCGGCUAACUACGUG